RNAcentral lists this ribosomal RNA (301 nucleotides) under uncultured bacterium. Its description in RNAcentral is "partial 16S ribosomal RNA". It matches the Rfam family "Bacterial small subunit ribosomal RNA", at positions 509 to 807 of the family's 1533-position model. The record is from RNAcentral.
CAGUCGCCGCGGUAAUACGAAGGGUGCAAGCGUUAAUCGGAAUUACUGGGCGUAAAGCGCGCGUAGGUGGUUUGGUAAGAUGGAUGUGAAAUCCCCGGGCUCAACCUGGGAACUGCAUCCAUAACUGCCUGACUAGAGUACGGUAGAGGGUGGUGGAAUUUCCUGUGUAGCGGUGAAAUGCGUAGAUAUAGGAAGGAACACCAGUGGCGAAGGCGACCACCUGGACUGAUACUGACACUGAGUUGCGAAAGCGUGGGGAGCAAACAGGAUUAGAUACCCGCGUAGUCCCUGUCUCUUAUAC